ACAGAGACCAAGAUGCGGAUUCAGAGGCACACAGAGAAGCCCAGAAGCGCGCGUCCUCGUGCCCAGUCACAGUCACACACGUUCACACGCGUGAACACACACAUACUCCCUCUCACACACCGGCCAACGUACGUGCCUAGCUUCCUGCAGUUGUGCAGCUAGACAAACAUUGAGUUCUCGGUAAGGGUAGAGGUCCUUGGGAAGCAGGGUCUGGGCUCAUGCCCAGGUAAACAUUCGUGUGAAUCAUGUUCUCUUGGGAACCCGGUCCAUUCUGAAGCCUGUGUGAUCUAUGUCCACUUCUCAGGUGUAGCUGCUGGGCAAGGCUGGCCGUCGGCAAAGACCAGAAGACCUUCGCGUUGUCUGAUGACUGGAGGUGCUAAGGAGAACUGGAAAAAUGGGGCAGGCGCGUGUUGCUAAGUGUGACCGUGGCUAACUCCGGAAGGUGCAGUUGAUUGGCAAGGCUGGCCGAUGGCAAAGAACACAGGACGUUUGCGUGGUCUGACGACUGGAGGUGAUGAGGAGAACUGGAACAAGAGAGCUGGGCCAUGUUGCCGACCGUGGACGUGGAUAACCCAGGUGUAGCUGCUGGGCAAGGCUGGCCGUCGGCAAAGACCAGAAGACCUUCGCGUUGUCUGAUGACUGGAG
Molecule: long non-coding RNA, 645 nt
Organism: Physeter macrocephalus (sperm whale)
Lineage: Eukaryota; Metazoa; Chordata; Mammalia; Artiodactyla; Physeteridae
Exons: 3
Source: RefSeq, a predicted model, not a curated record